UCUCCCACCUGGGUGGUAGGGACCCAAGUAAUUCAGCCAUCAACUGAUGCCUCCCAGGGUGAGCAUUAGCAGGAAGUUGUAUAGGAAGUGGAGGUGUUAUUGGAAUCCAGGCACUUUGCACAUUUGCAUUUAAUGUGUAUAAUAUCUGGUCUCCUAGGCUUUACAUUAGAGAAGAAAACAAAUUAUAUAUGAAUCUAUAGUGUCUCAUAAUUUCCUAAGGUGGCCACAGUGAAUUAGGUUAAUGGGAAGCUGAAUCUAUAUAAUGUCAUAAUCCAUAUUUAUAUUGUACCAUAAAUGUAUGACUUUUGUAGAAACAAACAACCAUAACACCAAACAUCUGGAUGAAAUCUGAAAAUUUCAGUGACAUAUCCAGAUAUCUCUACACAUCUGGAAUUUUUAGAUUUAAUGUUCCAACUGCUUCCAUUUUUGUCUGGGCACUUGAAACACUGUAGACACUGUCUAACAAAUAUUUAUUCACAUCAUAAAUAUGUGAAAACAUGGAAAGAAUCAUUGUACAAAUACAAUUUUCAGAUUUAAUCAUAUUCCAGUGACUAAAGUGGCUCUGGCAGUUAAUGUAGACAACCCAAUGUCAACAGGCCCUGCAGACUUAACCAAGUAGUUCAGCGGCAAAGUGGGGAGUUGAAGUGAAGAAUUCAAACCAAGAAUGCUUUAAGGCCAUGCUUAGAUUAUUCUAGGAAUGUCUGGCAAUGACAUAAUCUCCUUCUCCUGUCCACACUGAGUUUGAUUGUAUGACUUUCUCUGGACAAUGAAACUAAAUUAGCAAAUAUGAUCCAAGCAAAGACUUGAGAAACCUUCCAUGUUGCAGCUUUCCCUCUCAGAGCUCCUGGAAAUGCUUCUACAACCACCUGAAGAUUGGGAUUCCAGCCUAUCCUGGUAGAAGAUGGAAACACACACAACAGAAAUGCAUUGUUUUAGUGGAGGCCCAGUCAGCUCAUAGUCAACCCAUCAGCCAAGUGCAGAUUCAUGAGGAAGGCAGGUACUGCUGGCAAUAAAACUGGCCAAGUAAUUCCAGUCCAAAUCUGAUGCACAAGAUUGUGAGUGAAUUACAGCUCAGUAUCCAUUAAGAUCCAGCAAUGUGUAGAGUGGUUUAUUAUACAGCAUUGGCUUAAGAUCAUGGCAUUGAAAAGGGACUUCAAAGAAGUGAAUAAAGUUGUGUGUGCAUGUAUGUGUACAUAUGUAGAUAUAUCAUA
Oryctolagus cuniculus (rabbit) is the source of this 1211-nucleotide non-coding RNA. Lineage: Eukaryota; Metazoa; Chordata; Mammalia; Lagomorpha; Leporidae. The record is from RefSeq and is a predicted model, not a curated record.